CCUGUUGUUUUAAAAUUCACAGUUUAAUAGUUCUGUAACAUUUUUUUUUUUUUAAAUUUUCAAAUAGAUGAGGUAAUUGUAACAUUUCAAAACCAAGCUGCACUUUUUAGGUCAUUCUUUAAGAAAAGGACCAUUAUCUCCUUUCCUGGGUAAGUACAGCUAUUCAUGAUUUUAUGUUAAUCUGUUUCUCCAGAUUGUAAUAAUCAUGUUCUUUUUCUGUAUAAUUCAAAUAGACUUCACUGGAGAGAUCUUCGCCUGGAGGAGCUGGAGAGGGCAAAUAUUAAUAUAAAUUUUACUAUUGGCAACUAUUGCUAUUUGACCCUCUCAUAAGUUCUUGUCUGUCCCUUCCCUGGGAUGUGGAGUCCAUAUUUUUGACUGACUUGCAGAAAAUUAAAGUUAAAUGUCAGCCCACCAGAGUAUGGCUUUGAAAGCCGGAGUUUUCAUUUCUUUCAGACCUCAUAUACUCAUCCCAGUAUAUGGCAUCUUGCUUGAAGGAACACUUUCACCAUUUAUUUAUGUAAAAUGCUGGAAUCAAAUCUAUUUUUACAUAGUAAGAGAAGUACCAUGGGCCCUAGCUUGAAGUCCUGUCUCAAAAGAGAAAUUAUAAAUGAAAAUAAAAUCACUUAUCUGUGAACAUAACAUUGAUCAAAUCCAUACCAGCUGUGGGUCUGUUGUACUCAAUGAAUGCCAAACCUCACAUUGAAUUUUUCAAUCCCAAACCAUGGGAUUUUGCUGUUCACACCAAAGAAAACUUCUGUAAAGCUUGUUUUACUUGCUGGGAUUUAGCCCAGAUCAAAGAAUUCCAGGUUCAGGCAGUUCCUCAGUGACUGACAGCCAAAAGUCACCUGAGGAAAAUGAAAUGCAGCCAGGCUGAUGAAAUCCUGGUGAUGCCCAGGAAGGGCUGGAUCUGUGGGGGUGUAGGCACCAAACCAGUCUGAGCUGAACUAAGAAUUCCAGUAAUUUAACCCAUCCUUGCAGGCUUCUCCCCAGGAAGGUGAAGAUGAAGAAUAUCAGUGCCUAUUUUGCUCUCCUGCAAAAGCUGAAAAUCUUCAAUGAGGUUUAAAGAGCGUGUACAAAGCCCAGUUCAUCAAUAAUCAUCUUCUCUCUUCUGACAUCCAAAUGGGAAAUCUGCAGCUGCUUUUGCUGCCUGGCCAGCUCUUUGUUUCAGUGCUUGGAACAGCUUGAAUUUGACAGAUCAGAUUUGUGAAAUGCCAUAAAAGAGAAGAAUCCUCAUCUCCUCCUGCCUUCAGCUUCACCCUGGUGUGGACAUUACAUUUAUUUGUGUGCUGUGUGAGCAGGGGCACACCAAAGGCACCAGUUCUCCAGUAUUUUAUCCCUAAUGGUGGCCAAUAAUUGGUGCCAAGGAAAUAAAUAAAGGAAAAAAACCCAAUAACAGGGUAAGCACCCGUUAUAUUCUCUUAGUUCACAGCCACCUCCUGCUCCCAGAUUUAUGGAGCCUCGGAGCCUUUCCACUUGUGCCUCUUUAUUUCCUGGGUAUUUUGCAAAAUUUACUUGACAAUGCCUGGCCACGGUGGAAAAUGUUACCUUUAAACAGAAACCUGGAUUGGAUGUUUUGUGCACUCCCACCUGGAUCAGAAAGAUCACCACCAGGUCUGCUUCCCUUUUUCAAUGCUCACCUGGCAGAAUGUAAUUUUAUUAAAGUACUGAAAAACACCAUUUUAUUGUCCUAAAAGAGAAAUAUUUCUGAAUUUGAAGAGCAAGGUGGAUUCAUAACAAAAAGUAUUCACUUAAAGGAAAAUAUAUGUAGCAGGUCAUGUGAAAAUCCAUCUUUGUUUGGUCAAAACUCUUUGUCUCUACAAAUCCCCAAAGUAAAACCGGAGUGACCCAUCAGGUUUGAUGUACAAGGAAGAUUAUUCCAGUGAAUAAUUUGAGAAGGCAAAGUACCAAAGUUUCCAAAUCCUGUUUGUGCUCUAUUUCUCCUAACUUCAUCUGAAUCUGUUUCUUGUAGAACCCAGGAGAAGCCUAAGAUGUCUUUGCCAAUCUGCUGAUUAAAUAAGAUUGUGUUAAUAAGUGUUAAAUACAGAGUUGUCACUGCUGUGCGAAAAGUGAAUAUGUUUUGAAAGUUCAGGCAAGUCAUUUCACAAAAUGCCUCUGGAUAAUUUUUAUCUGGUCAUCCAUGGCUUCCUUUGAUGUGCUGUGCCAGGAUUAUUUGAUAUUGCAGUUGAGAGUAUAUCCUCAAAAACCUAAGGAGUACUUUUUUCCAGAGUAGACAAGAGCAAUUUAAUUUUAUUUAUAUUUUUUUACUAAACUAACAGUUCAGAUUCAGUUAAGAAUUUGAAACAGAAUUCCCUGGUGUUUCUAUCACUGGAACAAACACUGACAGACUUCAGAGUGGAUAAUGACUUUGACUCUGGCAGAUAAAGCAGCUCCUGACAAAAUUCCCUGCCCAUCCCACGGGGGAGUUUAACCACACAAAUGCAAAUAACAAACCAUGCAAAUGCUGCAUUCUCAGCCCUGAAGGUGAUUUAUUGCUCUGUUCCCUAACAAUGACAGUCCAGGAGUUGAUGGUGGCCACUGUGGCUCCUCACUCACUGCCACUGCCCAGGGAGGUUCUUACCCAGUCAAGCCAAGGCACCAUCAGGUUUUCUGCAUUUCAGCAAAAAAGUGUGGCCUGGAAACCUGGUGAAAACCCAGAGAAUCCUCCAGAAGUCAAAACUUUGCAGGGCAUAGAACAGUUCGGAGAGGAAACUCCAAGAAGGGAUUCAGGGUUCCUUUAACUUGGCUGUGAUCUCUGCAUGAAAUGUUAAUUCCCACUGGGAUGGAGCAGGGAGUUAGACAUUAAAAAGAUGUGUUUUACACUGCACAGAUCCAGAAAAUUGCUCUGUCCUAAUUACCCCUGUGAUUUGUUUCGUGUGAUUUUACAGUUCUUUUAAUUUUCUUCUGAGAAGUACCUCGUGUGUCAAUGUUUAACCUUUUCCAGGUUGAAUGAAGGUUACUUCAGCCAAAGAAAACGUUCAGUAGGAUGAAUUUCUUUUAUUUCCUUAAACUUUAGUAGAUUACUUGAUGUCUGAGCAGCUUUUUCUUGGAGGUUUUUGGGGUUUUUUUCUUAGAAAAGUACUUUUCAAGGACUCACAGCAAGUUGAAAAAUACAUAAAAUAUCUCUAAACUCAAAUCAUUUCCCAUCCAUAUGACGGUGGAAAACAUAGAUAUGUCCAAAAACCUUACCAUGCACAGAAAAAGAAUGUGGGGGAAAACCUUGCUUGAUAUUAUAGUUGCUUUGCAAUAACCUCAUUUGUCAAGUUUUAAAUAACUUUUGAGGCUUUUGAGAUUAAAAGCUCAAAUCUCACUCCCAGUCCCCUGAGCUUCCUAUUGAACACACUGGAAAUAGAUGGCACAUGCAGCAUUCUGAUAACACCUGACUCA
Long non-coding RNA from Parus major (Great Tit), 3384 nucleotides. RefSeq lists it as uncharacterized. The record is from RefSeq and is a predicted model, not a curated record. The transcript has 3 exons. NCBI's taxonomy places the organism in Eukaryota, Metazoa, Chordata, Aves, Passeriformes, Paridae.